RNAcentral lists this ribosomal RNA (1493 nucleotides) under Triticum aestivum (bread wheat). RNAcentral's name for it is "partial small subunit ribosomal RNA". Lineage: Eukaryota; Viridiplantae; Streptophyta; Magnoliopsida; Poales; Poaceae. The record is from RNAcentral.
UGGGAGACUGGGAGCACAGGCAAACGAAGCAAGCCCCCUCCGGCCCUCUUAUCCUCUUCCUCUCGCGACGGCGGUGGCGCCGAGUGCACCCAGGCCUCAUUCCACCUUACCACGCAGGUAACUGUGCUUUGUGCAAGGCCGGGUUUAUACAAAAUGGUUCUCUGUCAAGGCUUAUCUGCUGGGCAGGGGCAGCUUCUUGCUUUUCCUGCUGCUAAGCCUCCUCUCUUAAGAAGAUCUUGCAUUCGUAUACCAGCGGGAUCACCGGGUCUAAAGAGUGCUCGGCUUUCAUCCAAGAGGAAGAAACUUUCAGUGCAAGCUGUACGAGCCGGCACUGGUUUUCUUCACCAUGACAUGCUCACAUCAUCUCUGAUGGAGGGUUCGAUCAAGGGCAUUCCAUCAUUAUUGACCCGGCAGAAUCAGCGUCGAAGAUCGGAAGUUGGCUGUCGAGCUUCCUCUCUAGCAUCAUUCAGCUACCCUGAAUUGACUUCCAAGCCCAGAUGGUGGUGGAGAACCCUUGCAUGUGUGCCGUACUUGCUGCCACUCCACAACAUGUGGUCGUAUGCCGAUGUCAUCUACCAGUUGCACACGUACUUGCAGGGCUUUUCAUUGGUUUAUACUUUCAUCGACACCAUGACACUGCUUCCAGGGUGGCUCUUGCUGGUGAUAUUUAUGACCGUGUACUUCUUCGUGGUGAGACGCAAGUGGUCACCCCACUUCAUGAGGUUCCAUGUGAUCUUGGCCAUCCUCCUGGACACCGGCUCCCAAGCAGUGGCAACAAUGUGCACCUGGAUGCCCAGCUUCGUGUAUCAGGGGAAGCCCAUGCAGUAUUUCUGGAUGGCCAUUGCUUUCAUGCAGAUCUUUACAGUGCUAGAGUGCAUGCGCUGUGCUCUCUGUGGGAUGUAUCCGAACGUUCCUUUCAUAUCCCACACAGCCUUCAUCCAUUCUGAUCUGAAUCUCUUCAGGUAGCCACCUGCUCACCAUGUUGGGUUUUUGAUAUCAGAAGGAUGGAAAGUGAGAUGGAGGUGCAAAUAGGUAGUACUUUUUUUUUGCAGUAGCUACUUACAGUUCUAUAGACUGUUUUGUUUAUACUGAAAUUUUGAAGUCUCAUUGUAAUUGCCAGGAUCGUGACCUUUUUGCAUUAUGACAAAAUCCAAACAGUGACACGAUUGAUCGUUGCAUCGGUUGAAUUGCUUAAGUGUUUGAGUUAUCUGCAUUUUUGUUGUCUAGAAACGUGUGAAACUAUGAAUACAUGUUUCCUCGUGUGGUUUGAAUGGAACCCCUGCUGGCCGGACUUGGCUAAAAUCUGUUUAUCAUCUUCCAGAAAUGAACGGCGGUGUAGGUAUGGCACCCUUUUGUCUGGCCACAUUUUGACUUCUGAACUUGGCUGAAGUGCUAGACUCCGAAUAUUGGUGAUGAGAAUUAUCUGUGCAAACUGCCAUUCGUUUUUCUAUGACAUUGGUGAAGAAUAAAGAAUCAACAACUAUUUCUACCAC